ACAGUGCAUCCAGAGCAUGACCCGGCUAGUAGUGAAGGAACGGAAUCGCAAGUAUGACCAGAAGCCAGGACAAAGCUGGCCAGGGGAAUCCCAAGUCCUCCCCUUAUUACUCUGCAGGCCCCAGGCUUCACUCAAGUUGGUGCUGGGGUCCCCCCAACCUUACUACCCUCCUUUCCCCCUCUCUUCAGCAAGCUGACAAGAGAGAGUGGUACUGACUUCCCUAUCCCUGCUGUCCCACCAGGGACAGAUCCAGAAACUGAGAAGCUCAUCCGGGAGAAAGAUGAAGAGCUGCGGCGGAUGCAGGAGAUGCUACACAAAAUCCAAAGACAGAUGAAGGAGACUCACUAACUGGCUUUUGGACCUGAAUAUUUAAAUCUCUUCUACCAGCCCACGCCGGCCUCUCUCCCUGCAUCAGCUCUGCUCAGGCCCCCUGCAGCUCCUACCAGUUCGCCUUAUAUCCCUGCUGACUUCUCAGAGACUCAGAGGAAAUAAACUAACCUAUAUGUGGCUCCA
This 513-nucleotide long non-coding RNA is filed under the name Rattus norvegicus (Norway rat). RNAcentral's name for it is "long non-coding RNA NONRATT005847". Lineage: Eukaryota; Metazoa; Chordata; Mammalia; Rodentia; Muridae. The record is from RNAcentral.